RNAcentral lists this transfer RNA (73 nucleotides) under Deltaproteobacteria bacterium. Its description in RNAcentral is "tRNA-Thr". It matches the Rfam family "tRNA". From Rfam's summary of the family: Transfer RNA (tRNA) molecules are approximately 80 nucleotides in length. Their secondary structure includes four short double-helical elements and three loops (D, anti-codon, and T loops). Further hydrogen bonds mediate the characteristic L-shaped molecular structure. tRNAs have two regions of fundamental functional importance: the anti-codon, which is responsible for specific mRNA codon recognition, and the 3' end, to which the tRNAs corresponding amino acid is attached (by aminoacyl-tRNA synthetases). tRNAs cope with the degeneracy of the genetic code in two manners: having more than one tRNA (with a specific anti-codon) for a particular amino acid; and 'wobble' base-pairing, i.e. permitting non-standard base-pairing at the 3rd anti-codon position. RNAcentral also lists the same sequence under 1 other name. The record is from RNAcentral. Lineage: Bacteria; Pseudomonadati; Myxococcota; Myxococcia.
GCCACUGUAGCUCAGUUGGUAGAGCACCUCACUCGUAAUGAGGUGGUCCACGGUUCGAGUCCGUGCAGUGGCU